Molecule: long non-coding RNA, 703 nt
Organism: Polypterus senegalus (gray bichir)
Lineage: Eukaryota; Metazoa; Chordata; Cladistia; Polypteriformes; Polypteridae
Exons: 4
Source: RefSeq, a predicted model, not a curated record
UGAACGUGACUCUUUGACAGCUGAGUGAAUACAGCUGAGUGAGCUCAGUAGUGCGUUGAUACACGGUGUGGCUCUGCCUCGCUGACUGUGCCUUUUCGGGACAAUCGCUGGAUUGUUACACAGCCUCUUCCAGAACAGAUUCCCAGACCAUAAAUGUCGCGCACAGCACUCCAGCGGAGCGUUUUCACACUCAAACAGAAGUUACAAUCCUAACGAGUCUGAGUCGCGUCAAGAUGCCAGGAGCGAAAGGUAACAAGCCGGACAAAAAAUCUGCCACAAAGCAACAGCAGGGCAACAAGGAUCAAACAAAAAAGAGCGAUCAAAAAGGAGAUGAUAACAACAAAAAGCAAGGAGGACAGCCAAAGGGAGAGAAGCAGUAACUUCCAGGCUUUUAUCAAAAUGGCUUUGGAAACAUUGCUUGGAAAAUGUCGACGUAAAUCUGUCAGUCCACGGUACAGAUGAACCCACUUCUUCCCACUUAUCUCUCCAAGUCUUACUUUGUUUCUAUCUACUCUCUUUAUCUCUGAAAAUAAAUUUUAUGUAUAUAUGCUAGGCAAAGGCCUUCUUUUUUUCAGUAAAGCAAAAAAAAAAGUUCAGAGUUCACAUAUGGAAGCAUUUUUGCUUUAAUCACAGUUGGAAUCACAUACAUUAGGACUUUGUAGUAGAAAUGGGAAAAGAGCAGCAUAAACCUUAAACCUUGCAU